RNAcentral lists this ribosomal RNA (641 nucleotides) under fungal sp. RNAcentral's name for it is "eukaryotic LSU rRNA". The stretch from base 260 to 413 matches the Rfam family "5.8S ribosomal RNA". Lineage: Eukaryota; Fungi. The record is from RNAcentral.
UGGAAGUAAAAAGUCGUAACAAGGUCUCCGUUGGUGAACCAGCGGAGGGAUCAUUAAUGAGUUAAAAAACUCCUAAACCCACUGUGAACAUACCAUUUUGUUGCCUCGGCAGGUUGUGUUUGCCCUGUAGCUGCUACCCUGGACCUACCCUGGACCUACCCUGUAGCUACCUGGUAACACGUUUAACGGCCUGCCGGUGGUCUUCUAAACUCUUGCUAUAUAUUGCGAAUUUCUGAACAAGUAAAACUUAAUAAGUUAAAACUUUCAACAACGGAUCUCUUGGUUCUGGCAUCGAUGAAGAACGCAGCGAAAUGCGAUAAGUAAUGUGAAUUGCAGAAUUCAGUGAAUCAUCGAAUCUUUGAACGCACAUUGCGCCUACUAGUAUUCUAGUGGGCAUGCCUGUUCGAGCGUCAUUUCGACCCUUAAGCCUCUGUUGCUUAGUGUUGGGAGCCUACGGUUAUAGCGUAGCUCCUUAAAGUUAGUUGGCGGAGUUAGGGUACACUCUCAGCGUAGUAAACAUUUUUCUCGCUGUUGUAGUUGCCUUAGCUGUUGCCAUUAAACCUGUCUAUUAUUUAGUAAGGUGACCUCGGAUCAGGUAGGAAUACCCGCUGAACUUAAGCAUAUCAAUAGGCCGGAGGAAA